AGGCAUAAGAUUAGAACAGGAGGAGAAGCAGGCAGGAGAGAGCAGAAAGGAGAAGCACUGUUAAAAGGGUCCUGGAAUAAACUGCAAAAGGAAGAGCUCGUGUAGUUGCAUCUUUCUUGCUGGACGAGGAGGACACAACAAUUCGUGGCCCUCAUGGGGAAAAAGAAAAGAAAAACCUCGCAACAGUUGGAGGCCUGGACUGGGAGAAAGUAAAAGAAAAGUAACAGUUGGAGGCCUAGACAGACGGGGAAGGAAAAACCUCUUGAGACUCAGAACCUUUUGCAGUCAGGGUAAGCCGGCUUGGUAAAUUCCCAGAAUUUGUAUAGAAGAGGAAACAAAAUACCCAUGAAAGGAGUUACAGAGACAAAGUGUGGAGCAGAGAUUGAAUGAAAGACCAUCCAGAGACUGCCCCACCUGGAGAUUCAUCCCAUAUGCAGUUCCAGUUCUAUUGCCAGAACCCUCAGGCUGGAUCAAAACUUCAUACUGUUAUAAUUCAAGAAGUUAGGCACGACUCUCUACUCAGCGAGGAAAGAGAAAUGGGAAAGCAGGUCUUUAUAUGAUGAUAAUUCAGACAUGCCGUCAGUGGAAGGGUGGGAAAACUGACAGGAUGGGAUCCUUCCUUCUUGGCCACACAGCAAUAAUUUAAUUCUCCUCACAAGCUCCAUUU
Long non-coding RNA from Mastomys coucha (southern multimammate mouse), 667 nucleotides. RefSeq lists it as uncharacterized. The transcript has 3 exons. NCBI's taxonomy places the organism in Eukaryota, Metazoa, Chordata, Mammalia, Rodentia, Muridae. The record is from RefSeq and is a predicted model, not a curated record.